ACGCACGCUGGCGGCGUGCUUAACACCUGCCAGUCGCACGAUGAUGCCAGCUUGCUGGUGGAUUAGUGGCGAACGGGUGAGUAACACGUGAGCAACCUGCCCCUGACUUCGGGAUAACCGCGGGAAACCGUGGCUAAUACCGGAUAUGACGCGCUAUCGCAUGGUGGUGUGUGGAAAGAUUUAUCGGUUGGGGAUGGGCUCGCGGCCUAUCAGCUUGUUGGUGGGGUGAUGGCCUACCAAGGCGACGACGGGUAGCCGGCCUGAGAGGGUGACCGGCCACACUGGGACUGAGACACGGCCCAGACUCCUACGGGAGGCAGCAGUGGGGAAUAUUGCACAAUGGGCGCAAGCCUGAUGCAGCGACGCCGCGUGAGGGAUGACGGCCUUCGGGUUGUAAACCUCUUUCAGUAGGGAAGAAGGCCUUCGGGUUGACGGUACCUGCAGAAGAAGCGCCGGCUAACUACGUG
RNAcentral lists this ribosomal RNA (467 nucleotides) under uncultured bacterium. RNAcentral's name for it is "partial 16S ribosomal RNA". It matches the Rfam family "Bacterial small subunit ribosomal RNA", at positions 29 to 507 of the family's 1533-position model. The record is from RNAcentral.